GCAGCCGCGGUAAUACGGAGGAUGCGAGCGUUAUCCGGAUUUAUUGGGUUUAAAGGGUGCGUAGGCGGGAUAUUAAGUCAGUGGUGAAAGUUUGCCGCUCAACGGUAAAAUUGCCAUUGAAACUGAUAUUCUUGAGUGCGUUAAAGGUAGGCGGAAUGUGUAGUGUAGCGGUGAAAUGCUUAGAUAUUACACAGAACACCGAUUGCGAAGGCAGCUUACUGGUGCGUAACUGACGCUGAGGCACGAAAGCGUGGGUAUCAAACAGGAUUAGAUACCCC
RNAcentral lists this ribosomal RNA (278 nucleotides) under uncultured Oscillospiraceae bacterium. Its description in RNAcentral is "partial 16S ribosomal RNA". It matches the Rfam family "Bacterial small subunit ribosomal RNA", at positions 511 to 788 of the family's 1533-position model. The record is from RNAcentral. Lineage: Bacteria; Bacillati; Bacillota; Clostridia; Eubacteriales; Oscillospiraceae.